GGCCGCAGUAUUUUAACUGUGCAAAGGUAGCAUAAUCAUUUGUCUUUUAAUUAAAGGCUAGUAUGAAUGGUUGGACGAAAUAUAAACUGUUUCAUAAAAAUUUUUAAUAAAAUUUUAUUUUUUAGUUAAAAAGCUAAAAUUUAAUUAAAAGACGAGAAGACCCUAUAAAUCUUUAUAUUUAAUUUAAUAUAAAUUUUUAGAAUUUUUUUUUUAUUAUAAUUAAUAAUAUUUUAUUGGGGUGAUAUUAAAAUUUAAUUAACUUUUAAUUUAUUUUUACAUUAAUUUAUGAAUAAUUGAUCCGUUAUUAACGAUUAAUAAUUUAAGUUACUUUAGGGAUAACAGCGUAAUUUUUUUGGAAAGUUCUUAUUGAUAAAAAAUAUUGCGACCUCGAUGUUGGAUU
Molecule: ribosomal RNA, 400 nt
Filed under: Medinodexia sp. Medd_26022006
Lineage: Eukaryota; Metazoa; Arthropoda; Insecta; Diptera; Tachinidae
Description: partial 16S rRNA
Source: RNAcentral